GUUGAGAGGAAUGUUGUCUGGCUCGAGGUCAUUGAGGCCAUGAUUAUACAGACAUGGCAUUACCUGAUGACAGCCGAGAAAAUUCAAAGUCUGUGUGUAUCUUGUACCUCGAUGAUUCUCGGACCAGGCUUCAUUCCUUCCAAC
Populus trichocarpa (black cottonwood) is the source of this 144-nucleotide non-coding RNA. The record is from Rfam. NCBI's taxonomy places the organism in Eukaryota, Viridiplantae, Streptophyta, Magnoliopsida, Malpighiales, Salicaceae.